GCGGCAAUGGCGGAAUUGGUAGACGCGCUACCUUGAGGGGGUAGUAUCCAAAAGAUGUGCAAGUUCAAAUCUUGUUUGCCGCACCA
This 86-nucleotide transfer RNA is filed under the name Acholeplasmataceae bacterium. RNAcentral describes it as "tRNA-Leu". It matches the Rfam family "tRNA". From Rfam's summary of the family: Transfer RNA (tRNA) molecules are approximately 80 nucleotides in length. Their secondary structure includes four short double-helical elements and three loops (D, anti-codon, and T loops). The record is from RNAcentral. Lineage: Bacteria; Bacillati; Mycoplasmatota; Mollicutes; Acholeplasmatales; Acholeplasmataceae.